UUCGCCCUUUUCCGGUUGAUCCUGCCGGACCUGACUGCUAUCGGAUUGAUACUAAGCCAUGCGAGUCAUUGUAGCAAUACAAGGCAGACGGCUCAGUAACGCGUAGUCAACCUAACCUAUGGACGGGAAUAACCUCGGGAAACUGAGAAUAAUGCCCGAUAGAACACUAUACCUGGAAUGGUUUGUGUUCCAAAUGAUUUAUCGCCGUAGGAUGGGACUGCGGCCUAUCAGUUUGUUGGUGAGGUAAUGGCCCACCAAGACUAUUACAGGUACGGGCUCUGAGAGGAGUAGCCCGGAGAUGGGUACUGAGACACGGACCCAGGCCCUAUGGGGCGCAGCAGGCGAGAAAACUUUGCAAUGUGCGAAAGCACGACAAGGUUAAUCCGAGUGGUUUCUGCUAAAGGAACCUUUUGUUAGUCCUAGAAACACUAACGAAUAAGGGGUGGGCAAGUUCUGGUGUCAGCCGCCGCGGUAAAACCAGCACCUCAAGUGGUCAGGAUGAUUAUUGGGCCUAAAGCAUCCGUAGCCGGCUCUGUAAGUUUUCGGUUAAAUCUGUACGCUCAACGUACAGGCUGCCGGGAAUACUGCAGAGCUAGGAAGUGGGAGAGGUAGACGGUACUCGGUAGGAAGGGGUAAAAUCCUUUGAUCUAUUGAUGACCACCUG
Molecule: ribosomal RNA, 664 nt
Filed under: uncultured archaeon
Lineage: Archaea
Description: bacterial SSU rRNA
Rfam family: Archaeal small subunit ribosomal RNA
Source: RNAcentral